CGGGAAUAUUGCGCAAUGGAGGAAACUCUGACGCAGUGACGCCGCGUAUAGGAAGAAGGUUUUCGGAUUGUAAACUAUUGUCGUUAGGGAAGAAAAAAGACAGUACCUAAGGAGGAAGCUCCGGCUAACUAC
Molecule: ribosomal RNA, 132 nt
Filed under: uncultured bacterium
Lineage: Bacteria
Description: partial 16S ribosomal RNA
Rfam family: Bacterial small subunit ribosomal RNA
Source: RNAcentral